Long non-coding RNA from Bubalus bubalis (water buffalo), 2339 nucleotides. RefSeq lists it as uncharacterized. The transcript has 9 exons. The record is from RefSeq and is a predicted model, not a curated record. NCBI's taxonomy places the organism in Eukaryota, Metazoa, Chordata, Mammalia, Artiodactyla, Bovidae.
CCAGACGCUGCGAGUGUUGACCGCUCCAACACAAACUGAGAGGCCCUUUUAAUCUGGUUAAAGAGAAGCUCAACAGAAAGUGAAACAUUUCCCGUCCCUUGAGGAGAGAACUCCAGGCCAGCCGGGAUCACUGGGUCUGAGGCCCCAAUCCGGAAAUACCGGUUCCUCCCGCUGGGACAAUAGGUGAGGGCGUGAGCGUUAACCGAGAUCUAGCUUGGUCUCCGCUGGAAUCCUUGCUCAGAUGGGAAGGCAGAAUCCUCCUAGUGCCCAAGCCUGCAACUGGCGAGCAGGAAUUUACUGAAAGGACACACAAGAGAAGACCUGAUAAACCAGAACUAAGGAGAGGAGCCCAGGACACUUGUGGAUUCAGAGCCUCAGAUUCACAUGGACAGCCUUUCAAGAAGCUGCCUUUGGAUGACUCAUUCACAGCCACCUCCAGUACACAUGUGUUCCUGCUCAGAUUCAGAUUCCUGAGCAAGAUGAACUGAUUGGUGUUUCUUUGGUCAUGUGCCACCCCUGACUUUAACCCCUGUGGUUGAAAACCCACCAGAAUCAGACAAAACAGGCUAAGUGCUGUUACUAGGAGAAGGGGAAGAACUUCUAAGGAGCAGAAAAAGGAUUUUAUAAAAAUCGUCCUCAUCUUAUUGAUUUAAACAUUAUGCAGGUAGCAAGUAAGCAAAUGCAUUUGUGAAAAACCAAAUAAUGAAGAGUAUAGAAUAAUACCUUACUUCUUACCUUACUCUCACCCCCAGAGAUAGAGGGGACGUUAGGUUUGAUUGCUACAACCUUCUUAUACUGUCGACCAUUUGGAAACAGCUACAUCAGCUGUAAAGAGGAGCGUCAGCUGGUGUGAUGGCUGCCUCCACUCCAACUUGAAAGGUGGUAGAUGUCUGUCAGAGGGAACUGCCUUUGCUGUUUGAAGGAUGUACCCCUGCCAAACGUGGGUUCACAGCACCGAGAGGCUACCAUAAAGUCCCAGGAGUGUGAAUGGUAUGAGGGACAGCCAGCUCAUGAGGUCCCACAGAAUCUUAAAAAACCCGAUGAUGUGAGAAACUGAAUCGCAUAGCCUGGAACUACAGCUUGAGGGUGAACGGCCUUUUUCCAAGAAAUAACUAGGAACAUGGAACCUGAAGCAAAUGCUUGAAUAAGAAUAAUGGAACAACUAGCAGCCAUUUAAGAACUUGUUCUUGUAUGACCUAUGGCCUGGAUCCAUUUGUAAACGAGGCAGAAAAGAAGGGGAAGAAACCAGAUAUUACUUACUAAAUAGACAUCAAGCACGGAGGCAUCAUCUUGCAUUUCCAGAGCAUCUGGCUCAGAAGUCAAGUAGAUGGUCCCCUCUUCCAAGGUAAAGGUGGAACUGGAAGGUAACCCUUUACUGGAAAAAUAAGGAAGAAUGAUGAGCAUGUGGCCUUCAGAACAAAAUCCAAGGACCCCUCCCAAGUGGUGGCUGAGGGUCCCUACUGCUGCUUCUGCGUCACACACCGGGCCUGUUCUCGCCAUUGGCAUCAUCUCUGCCUGGUCCCUCUGUGUGCAUGUCAGCCCAACAUCCUCACUGCACUGUAUGAAGAAGCUGAGGCUUGAGAGGCAUAGUAACUUGCUCAAGGUCACACUAGAGUUGAAUAGAGCUAGAAUAUGAACUUUGUUUUCCAAUUAAACACCUUCUCUAUGGUCACCCCUGAUGAAAUUUUAUAAAUUUGUUACUGCAGAAAUUGAGGGAGCUGAGACCAAUGUGCCUAGGAGCUUGAGGAGCAUCCCAUAAGCCAGCAAAAACAAAUGCGGGUUUGAUGCUUGAUGUGAGCUGUGGAGAUCUUUUGUUUGAGAAGAGUUAUGGCCAGAGAGGUUUGAGGAAAAGUAAGUAGGCAAAAUAUGCUGUACAAAGCAACAUAUUUAUCUUUCUCAAAAAAGUUAAAAUAGAAUUACCACUCGAGCCAACUAUCUCAUAUAUACCCCAAAGAAUGGAAAACAGGGUCUCAGAUAUUUGUUCCCUCAGUGUUAUGGGCUGAACUGUGGGCUUCCCUCCAGCCUCCAUUUAUAUCUUUAAGUCCUAAGCCCAGUACUUUAGUAUGUGUUGGUAUUUGGAGAUAGGCUCCUUAAAGAGGUAUAAUUAAGGUUAAGUGACAUAAUUGGGAUGGCUCUGAUUCAAUAUGAUUUGUGUCCUUACGGGAAGAGGAGGAGGGGAUUAGGACUUGGAUACACAGAGAAAAGACCAUGUGAAGAGGAAGAAGACGGCCCAUCUACAAGCCAAGGAGAGCCGCCUCAGAGAAAACCAACCUUGCUGACACCUUGAUCUUGGACCUCUAGCCUCCAGAACUGUGAGAAAAUAAAUUUCUGUUGUUUAA